RNAcentral lists this ribosomal RNA (253 nucleotides) under uncultured bacterium. Its description in RNAcentral is "partial 16S ribosomal RNA". It matches the Rfam family "Bacterial small subunit ribosomal RNA", at positions 524 to 776 of the family's 1533-position model. The record is from RNAcentral.
UACAGAGGGUGCGAGCGUUAAUCGGAAUUACUGGGCGUAAAGCGUGCGUAGACGGUUAUUUAAGUCAGAUGUGAAAGCCCCGGGCUCAACCUGGGAAUUGCAUUUGAGACUGAAUAGCUAGGGUGCGGUAGAGGGAAGCGGAAUUUCCGGUGUAGCGGUGAAAUGCGUAGAUAUCGUUUGGAACGCCAAUGGUGAAAACAGGUUGCUGGGAGUGUGCUGACGCUGAGACACGAAAGCCAGGGGAGCGAACGGG